RNAcentral lists this long non-coding RNA (846 nucleotides) under Brassica rapa (field mustard). RNAcentral's name for it is "long non-coding RNA (BRAP_LNC004965)". The record is from RNAcentral. Lineage: Eukaryota; Viridiplantae; Streptophyta; Magnoliopsida; Brassicales; Brassicaceae.
GAUAUUAGUGUGUUCAUGAGUCUUAUCAAAAUGUUUUCAAAAGAAUUUUAUUGAGUCAAGAAGGGGAUAAUGAACUUAUUAGAUUUUUACUUGUUAUCUAAUCACUCUUUAGCACCAUUCUAGACUUAUUGAUUGCAGAUAGUACUAAGGAUACUAAAGUGGAUCAAUCUGUCAUCUUUUCGCACUUGCUGAGAUUGUUUGAAGAAACCAAAGAUGACUUCCAACACUAAACCUAACACAAUUGCUUGUCUUGGGGCUUGGUAUACAUGGGAUCGGAUUCUUCAAACAAGUCUGGAAGGUAAAGCCUUGUGUAGAUUUAUCACAUUUUCUCUCUCUAUUUCGACCCUAGAUUUAUAGGUAGAGAUAUUUAUUUUCAAAAAAAAAAAUGAAAAAGAAAAUAAAAAAGAAAAACAAAGAAAAAUAUAAAUUAUAUAUAUAGGUGUUAGUUAGGUGAAAUCCGAACAAGACUUGGUGGCUACAACAAUUAAGACUUGCUUCAUAAGGAUUCUAACAAAAAUAAUUCGAACGGGACUUGGUGGCGGCAAUCAUCAAGGUUCGAUUCAUAUGAAUUCUUGGAUAUAGGUCAAAAAGAAGUGAACAGGACUUGGUGGCAACCACCAUUAAGUUUUGAUUCAUGGAAGCCUGUCCAAUCUUUUUCAUUGAUCUUGCAAUAUAAGCAUACUUUACUAAAGAGAGAAAUUAGUAGAGAGAAAAAAUAGAAACUAACUUUUACCUGCAGAUCCAGAUACUUGUUUGAAAAUCAUUGCAUCAUGUGAUCGAUACUCCCAAGGUAAAGCUUGCACUUUUAUUUAUGUUAAGAAAAGAGGUUGGUAGAGGGGAAUGUCA